RNAcentral lists this ribosomal RNA (505 nucleotides) under uncultured bacterium. Its description in RNAcentral is "bacterial SSU rRNA". It matches the Rfam family "Bacterial small subunit ribosomal RNA", at positions 501 to 1008 of the family's 1533-position model. The record is from RNAcentral.
CUACGUGCCAGCAGCCGCGGUAAUACGGAAGGUUCGGGCGUUAUCCGGAUUUAUUGGGUUUAAAGGGAGCGUAGGCCGGAGAUUAAGUGUGUUGUGAAAUGUAGACGCUCAACGUCUGACUUGCAGCGCAUACUGGUUUCCUUGAGUACGCACAACGUUGGCGGAAUUCGUCGUGUAGCGGUGAAAUGCUUAGAUAUGACGAAGAACUCCGAUUGCGAAGGCAGCUGACGGGAGCGCAACUGACGCUGAAGCUCGAAGGUGCGGGUAUCGAACAGGAUUAGAUACCCUGGUAGUCCGCACUGUAAACGAUGGAUGCCCGCCGUUGGCGCCCUGCGCCUGCGGCCAAGCGAAAGCAUUAAGCAUCCCACCUGGGGAGUACGCCGGCAACGGUGAAACUCAAAGGAAUUGACGGGGGCCCGCACAAGCGGAGGAACAUGUGGUUUAAUUCGAUGAUACGCGAGGAACCUUACCCGGGCUUGAAUUGCAGAGGAAUUAUUUAGAGAUA